UCACUCUAUUCAGGAUAUUCCCAUGGAUUGGUUUCUUUGGCUCUAAUCUAUGGUGCCCUCAUCUAGGGGAGUAGGAACUUUUUUUUUUUUUUGUCAUCUAGACUAUGAACACCACUCCCUUUGGUUGAUCUUCUUCGUCUUCUUCUUCUUCUUCUUUUCUUAUUCAUAAACUGUGUUAUUGAGUUAUACUUGUGAAUGUGUCUUGCCAUCUUGGCAUCUUAUCUUAGGGUGUGGAAAAAUGUCCUCCGGAAAGGAGACUGUGCGAUCGAUGCUACGUGCGGUAAUGGCCAUGAUACGCUGGCCUUGCUCAGAAUGGUGGCCGAUGACUCGGGCAGCGGGUUCAUCUAUGGGUUUGAUAUUCAGAGCUCAGCGUUAGAGAACACGCGCUCCUUGUUGGAGGCCUCUGUCGACCCAGACCAGGUGCUCUCUCUCUCUCUCUUUAAUAAAUUCAUGGAGGUGGAAUGGAAGUCACACAUCCUCCAUUCGAUUGAUUAAUAUUUUGAGUCGUGAACAAGCCUGAUCGGAUCUGAAUAUGAUCCUACAUCACUAAUUGUUGCAUUUCACUGCUCUCCCACAGAGGAGACUUGUCAGGCUCUCCCUGGUUUGUCACAGUAAGAUGGAGGACGUCCUCCCAGAGGGCACCAUUGUCAGGUGCUCAGGACCUCUGUGACUCAUGAAUGCUACUUAUUUUGAUGCCCAAUUUCGAGUUUCUAUGGCAAAAAAGUCAACGUCUGCUGGUUCUAUUUUAUUUUCUUAUCGAAGGUCGCCAUGCCCAUGCAGGCUUGUGGCGUUCAACCUGGGUUACCUCCCCGGGGGAGAUAAAGGCAUAAUAACUGUCGCCGGGACGACUCGCCCGGCACUGGAGGCAGCCAGCAGAGUUGUUGCUUCUGGGGGCCUUAUAAGCGUUCUGGUUUACGUCGGCCAUCCUGGCGGAAGGUGAGCCUUCUCAACCCCACGGUUCUUCAUUCUCCCUGCUCUGGGUAGACCGCCUCCUCCGUGGUCCUGGCCGGCCAUAAUUUUCUAGACCAUUAUUUUCAUAAAUCCCUUUGAUUUUAUUCAUUUAUUUACCAGAAUCAAUCUUGUUCUAGACCAUUGUCUCGAUAAAUCCCUUUACUUUUAUUUCUUUAUUUUCUAGAAACAAUCUCGUUCUAGACCAUUAUGUUGAAAUUUCCGUUUAAAUUUAUUUACUUAUUUUCUAGAAUCGAUCUUGUACAUGACCAUUAUUUUUUUAAUAAAUCCCUUUAAUUUUAUUUACUUAUUUUCUAGAAUCGAUCUUGUGCGUGACCAUUAUUUUUUUAAUAAAUCUCUUUAAUUUUAUUUAUUUAUUGUUGCUAGACUCAAUCUUGUUCUAGACCAUUAUUUUAAAAAGCACCUUUAAUUUUAUUAUUCAUUGCCAGAAUCAAUCUUGUUCUCGGGUCAUUUAUUUCUAUCAUCGUAGACUUAUCAGGACGGCGUAUUUAUUUGCCCUCAUAGGGAGGAACUCGAGACCGUACAAUCGUUUGCCUCCAGCCUGCCCGCCGAGUCCUGGUCCUGCUGCAAGCUGGAGAGGCUCAACCGGCCCUCAGCUCCUGUUCUUGUUCUCCUCUUCAAGAAGUAGGCCCGCCCUCAAGCAACCCCCGCCAAGAGAUAAGAUCAUUGCAUCUCUCGUGUACUACAUUGUACUACAUACAGAUGAUGACGAUGAUGAUGAUGAAGACGAAGAUGUUCACAGCUUUCUGGAGACGCCAGGUUCCAAAAAAAGAAAGAAAAAGAAAGGAACCCGGCAAGAUGGAUCAA
This 1776-nucleotide long non-coding RNA is filed under the name Spirodela polyrhiza (greater duckweed). Its description in RNAcentral is "long non-coding RNA (SPOL_LNC002014)". The record is from RNAcentral. Lineage: Eukaryota; Viridiplantae; Streptophyta; Magnoliopsida; Alismatales; Araceae.